Cygnus olor (mute swan) is the source of this 6081-nucleotide long non-coding RNA. RefSeq lists it as uncharacterized. The record is from RefSeq and is a predicted model, not a curated record. NCBI's taxonomy places the organism in Eukaryota, Metazoa, Chordata, Aves, Anseriformes, Anatidae. The transcript has 2 exons.
UAUUUAAAAUUCUGAAAGUUUUUCCUUACUGUUUAUUUUAUAAGUAAUUGUGGUAACUGCUAACCUUUUUGGUGUACGUGGGAGAAGGUUUCUGCAACAAACUUCAAAUAUUGUUGGAAGAACGCACUUUUAAAUUAAAGAUAAGCUUGUCAGAAGAGGUGCAGUUUGUUUCAGACAGGCAGGGCUGACUGCCUUCAUAGCUACUGUCAGCUCUCUUUAUCUUUAGAAUUUAGGGAAUUAUAUUCUGUUUUUCCAUAAGCUGUUAUGCUUGCUUCCUCACUAUGAUGUUUGUAACAAAUAAGUAGCAUCAGGUGAGGAAAAGGCAUCUUGCACUUGGGAAGUUGUUGGGCUUUUCUGUGAUCCUUCAUUUCUGUGGAAUUUCAUCCCCAGGUUUUGGACCGGUCCCUCAAAUUGUAGAAAGCCUCUUUGCUCAGGAGGAAUGUGGUUAUAAACCAUGAUCUUGAGGUGGGAGAUUCCACUGGUGUGAUAUUAUAAGUAGCAGAAACGAUGCAGCUUGGUUUCCAAGUGGAAGUUGCAAAAGCGUUUGUCUCACUUUCAAGUCCCAUGUAUAGCAUAGCUUGCCUCUGCAUUUACAGCUACAAUGCUUCACGUUCCUCAAAGCUGCCCGAAAAUUCACGGCAUACACCUCAGUUGCCCUUCAUGCUUCUUACUUGAACAUUUGCAUUCAACCCCUUUCUGUCCAGGGAAGGAUUUAGCUCUUUUAGUGUGAUAUGAGGUGCCAGCAGGAUGCAGCUGUGUCAUGGGGCUUCUGAAGAGCUCCUUGAAGGUCUCUGGAUGCUUCCUUGGUUUUGGCUUAUCCAUUCAAAAGGAGGGAGUUGCUUUGCAGAGAUGGAUGGUGGCUAGUUGGAAGAAUACACUUAAUUACAGUGUAACAUACUUAUGUAAUCAAAGUAAUUUUGCAUAGAGCACUGCAAUUUGCUGUAUCAUAGAGAGUAACUUCACUUUUUUCCAUUGAGAACGUCAGAGUUUCACGCAUGUAUGCUGUCACACUUUGAGUUUAAAGUUUACAUAGGCACAUUUUGGAUAAGUUGCAAUUCACUGUAGUAUUGUUAAAAAUUCCUGCUUUUCACACAAACGUUUACACAGUAGCUCAUGCAGAUGGACCUUAUGUAUCAUCUUAAAUUUGAGACAGAUGAGGAAAUUAAAUGAUUUUCCCAUCUAAUCACCUACCUACUACAGGAUGCUAUUUGAGCAGCUGUUUUUAGGGGUGGACAGGUGCACUGAUCUGUUCUUUGUUCAACUGCUUUCUGUAUGAGUGGAAGACAUUUCCAAAAUGAAGUAUGAUGAUAGUUUUCUAAACAUUCUUAGAAGGUGAAGACUUAAUUCUGUUGACUUUGCACAUACAAUCUCAGUUGCACCAUUUGAAAUGGUAGAAAUCAACAUACAGCCAAGCAUUUUUGUGAGUUUGCAUGUAUGUAAUAAAGUAAGAUUGGAUCACGUAUUUUUAAAUAGCUUUGAAACUUGGGAGACUUCUUGUGAAUUUAUGUAUUUAUAUUUAGAAAAUACCUAAAGUUGUGUUAAUAAGAAGUUUGACAAUUAAAAUAUCUCUGCAUGCCGAAGUGGAUGAGUUUGUAUCUUUAUUAGCAUUCUUGUUAACAGUACAUGUCAAGUUGAUACGCAAAACAGCACGUCCUUGCAAACAACCUUAAUUUCUGGUAAAUUGCAUUUUGGCAAAGAAGAUUGGCUUUUAUUUAUGGUUGUUUUUUUUUUUUUUUUUUCAACUUGAAUGGAAUUGUGUGUCAGAAAGGAAGGUAAGGCCUGUACUCUGAAGGCAGAAUUUGCUUUAAGAUGUAACUGAAGGAUAGUCUCCAAGUCUGGAAAAUGCUUGUCAGUGUGGGGAUUUUUUCUCCUCCUCAUUGCAGUUUUCAAACACAUAUGUUGCUGUGGGUUAGAAGGGCAGAGCUGGGAAAUACCGGAGGGGGAAGCGGCUAUGAAGGGUUUUGGGCACAGGGAGGGGAUGGGUGAUUUUGGCACCUCAGCACUGGCAGACUGCAGUCUGGCCACCCCACUUGUUGAAUGAGAGGAGGGCUGGGAAUCACAGAAUCACAGGGUUGUAGGGGUUGGAAGGGACCUCAAGAUGCCAUUGGUCCACCCCCCCGCCAAAGCAGGUUCCCUAGAGCAGGCUGCCCAGGUAGGCGUCCAGACGGGCCUUGAAUAUCUCCAGAGAAGGAGACCCCACAACCUCCCUGGGCAGCCUGUCCCAGUGCUCCGUCACCCUCACCGUGAAGAAGUUCUUUCUCAUGUUGGUGCGGAACUUCCUGUGCUCCAUUUUGUGGCCAUUGCCCCUUGUCCUGUCCCCACAAACCACUGGAAAGAGGUUGGCCAAAUCCCUCUGUCUCCCACACCUCAGGUAUUUAUACACAUUGAUGAGAUCCCCUCUCAGUCUUCUCUUCUCCAGGCUGAACAGACCCAGGUCUCGCAGCCUUUCUUCAUAUGGGAGAUGCUCCAGGCCCCGUAUCAUCUUUGUGGCCCCCCGCUGGACUCUUUCUAGGAGAUCCCUGUCUUUUUUGUGCUGGAAGCCACACUCCUGCCUGAAACUGAAGAAACUGAAAAGUGGAGCUGCAGGAGAGCACUGGUCGUCCCCGGCCGUGGCCACACUUCUGCUCCGCUGCCAGCACCGUGCCUUGGUGGCAUGGCUUCACCUCUCUGCCAAGCGUCUUGCUUGCUUCUGCGGUGGGAUGCGAUUCUGCGUGACCUCAUCUGGCAGAUGUGUGAACGGCUGUUGGCUUUACCAAACGUAUUUGGUACUGGUGAAGCAACAGAACACUUGAACACAUAUAUUUGGAUAUAGUAAAAUUGGCAUAUUUGUUUCAAAUCAAGUUUUUAAAAGUCAAGUAAAGUCUGUAAAAUUUUAGUCAGCAGAUGAACUGUAUAGGAAGAGGGUCAACUUCCAUGCAUGUGAAAAUUGAGUGAUCAGUGAGCCAUCGAAGGCUUUGGGUUGGAAGGGACCUUUAAAGAUCACAUAGAUCACAAAGAUUGCCCCUCUGCAGCAGGCUGGGAUGUCUCUCACUAGAUCAGGUUGGCCAAAGCCCCGUCCAGCCUGACUUUGAGCACUUCCAAUGGUUGUUGGAUGCUUUGAUGGGGCAACGAGGAAUAUUUCCAAUGAUGGUGGCCUAUGGAGAUUCUUCCGAAGUCUAAAAUAAAUUGUGGGGUUUGUCACUUUAAAAGAUACUUCAUAAAAAUAGGCCCUGCUUUCAUGUUUUGGAGUGCUUUUACUAUAUACAGCACUUCAAUCUUUUAACAAACGUAUUUAUAAUAAUACAGGCAAGGGACACUUCAAUCAAUGGCGAAGUUUCUAAGUAUUGAGUAAAGGCAUUUUUUUUCUGUUCAUGAACUGUAGAAACUGCUGUAAAAAUGGGGAUAAGGAGGUGACACAGCAGAAAAUGAUGCUCAUAAACUGCUUUAGUGGCAUAGGUGAAUGUUUUCUCACUAAUGGGUGACACUGGUAGAUGUUUGUUUUAAUUUAUGGUACCUGGCAAACCUAUCUUUGAUCUUAAGGUCUUUUACCCCUCAUGUUCCCAAUGUACAAUGUCCUCCAGUUUUGUCUAAUAAAAGGCAUUUAAAAAAAUACAUAGCCUUUUUUGCCCCCCUCCCCCUUUUUUUUUUUUGCUUUAAAGCUGAUCCUGUACAGAUUCCAGUGAAGGAAAUCAGUUGAUUACCAGCAUUGUGAGUUUGAGUCAUGAAUGGGAAAUAAUCUUUGACACUGAAGGUUAGUAAGGGGGAGGAAAAAGGAAGCAUGUCAUCAACCUGGCAUGAUUGUGCACCUACUCCAAGCAAUAGUUGCAGUCUGCAUUUCAGUUUAUGAUGAGAAGAGUAAGAAAGAGCUGUACUGGAUUCUAUGAGGUGUAAUUCUGCUGCUGAUACUCCUCUAAAACAGUCAGUGGCAUAAAAUACAGCUCUGCGGUCUACACAGGGUCUAAGUCAUUGCUUUGGGUAUUUUUGCUGCGGAAGAUUUCACUGGCUUGUUUGUUCCAUAAUAUCUUUCUCUGGGAAUUUGGAACGUGUCAUUCUUUAAUCAGGGCCACCUUCUUGAAAGAUGGUAGGACUGCUGAAGUUUUUGUUUUUUUUCAGUUGACCUGUACCCCACACGGCCUGUGAAGUCCACCAGAAGGACGUUCUGUGCCUUCACGUCUGAGCUGCUGCCUUCCCUGCUCUCGCUUUGUAGGUGCUGGGUUGCUAGUGGAUCUGAAAGGAAUUUGUUUUACUCACUCAACAAGAAACUCUAAGACUCCUAUUUUUUUCCUUACUUGAAACUGGGAAGGCCUCAGGAAAGAGGUCAUCUUACAGUCAUUUUUGAUGCUUUAUUGAUACGCUGUUUUUUAUAUCUGUAUAUAGGAAUACCUGCAAAAAAUUGCACUGUCCUUUUACUAAAUAAAUUUAUCCGCAAAAAUUUUAAGUGAAUCUAUAAAAAAUAGUAUUUAUUAGUAGCAUUUUAUAAUUUCACAGGAAAUCUCUCUUAAAAUAAGCAGCUUCAGUUUCCCCCACAAUAUUGGUCAAUGGUAGACAGGGAGAUGAAUAUCCAUCUAUCAUUUGCUGACAUUCUUUAAAAUUUUGAUAUCUAGCUGCAGCUUGUUACAAACUUCAGUGGUUAAUAGGAUUUAAAGUGAAUGUGGAAACAUUACUGUAUAAUUUGAAAUAGCUGUUCAGAUUGAAAAGGCUGUAACAAUUUUAUCUGGUCCUCUCCUCCUGCCCAACUCUGAGUGAUAACAAUAUUUAGAAUUCCUUUCAAAAUGUCUUUGGAAUGAUGCUAGGCAUUUCCCUGUGUAAUUCUUUUCUGUACUUUUAGCUUUUCAACUGUUGACCCCCUUUCUUGUCUAUGUCUUGUCUACAAAAAAAAUGGCCUUUUUUUUUUUCUGGUCAUUUUACUAUAAACCUUCAUUUUCAGUACUGUGAUUUAUUGUAGAAACUCGUCUGUGGAUUUUCAUUCUCCCAAAUCCUUUUCAUGAACAAGUGGGGUCUAGUUUUGAAGCUAAAUUUGCGUCAGUAUUUGUGAUGAUUAAUGUUUUGGAUCUUAAUAUCUCCAAAUUUGAUUACUGCAGUAUUUCCUAGCUUCUUGAAAUCUUCUUUAUCUGUCCUUCAGGGAGAUGGUUUUACUUGCUGAUACAUAGCAAAUGCAGUUGGUUUAUACUUUUAGACAGGCACUUCAUGGUCAGUUUAUUGUUCAGGAUGAUUUAAAGCAGGAUCAGACAAAAUAGCAUGGUUUGCAUACUAGCUAAAUAUCAUAAAUAGCUGUUACUAUGACGAAAGUAGUAACUGUAAUAAAUGUUUCUGAAAAGUAUAGUUUAACAUCUGUGAUUUGAGUGCUUAAUGAAGUUAGGUUUGUACUUUCGAAGAAUUGAAGUUAUAUUUUCAGGUAAAUGAGUCAGCAUAAGAGAUUAAUGCUUCUAGGAGUUCUAUUUUGGUAUCUAACUCAGGUAUUUCCAUUGAGAGUGAUGGCAUUCUGAGUGAAGAGACGGCUUAAAUAUAGAGUUGCAUAGUAUGUAGAACAAGGUGAUAUUAAAAUUUAGAAAUAAGUAUUAGAAAGUAAGAUGCAUUGUGUCAACACAGUAAAUUUUUAUAAUGCUGUGUUUAUGUAUUAUCUUUGAAAUGUUUUCAUAUGAGUUGCAAGUAAAAAAGGAAUGUUAUGAAGAUAUGCAAUGAUAUAUAAAUAUUCUUGAUUUGUGUUGAGGAAGUUAGAGAGCAGGAAUUCUCUUAAAGAGUAAAAGAAGGUAAACGUUGACUUCAAAAUGUAGUAUUUUUGGAAGUGAUUGUUUCUCAAGAAUGUAACACUUGUAUGGCCAUCUGAAAACCACAUUACAGUUUCAUGGCUAGGAGGAUGAAUGUGCAUAUACACAAAAGUUUCGUCUGUAAUGAACAGAAGAGAGAUUGUACAAUGACUCAGGAACAUAACUCUUUGUGAAAAAUUUGUUUUUACUCCAGUACUGCUGAUUUCAGGACAAUUUCACAAUACUAUUUGUUAUUGGAGAUCAGCCUUAUUUGGAAUUGGAUUUGAAAAGUCUGAUUUCCAAAGUUGGUGAAAUUGUGCAACUAAACAGAAAUUGAAGAUCGAAACAGUCAUUC